GACGAACGCUGGCGGCGUGCUUAACACAUGCAAGUCGAACGGAAAGGCCCUGCUUUUGUGGGGUGCUCGAGUGGCGAACGGGUGAGUAACACGUGAGUAACCUGCCCUUGACUUUGGGAUAACUUCAGGAAACUGGGGCUAAUACCGGAUAGGAGCUCCUGCUGCAUGGUGGGGGUUGGAAAGUUUCGGCGGUUGGGGAUGGACUCGCGGCUUAUCAGCUUGUUGGUGGGGUAGUGGCUUACCAAGGCUUUGACGGGUAGCCGGCCUGAGAGGGUGACCGGCCACAUUGGGACUGAGAUACGGCCCAGACUCCUACGGGAGGCAGCAGUGGGGAAUAUUGCACCAUGGGCGGAAGCCUGAUGCAGCAACGCCGCGUGCGGGAUGACGGCCUUCGGGUUGUAGACCGCUUUCGCCUGUGACGAAGCGUGAGUGACGGUAAUGGGUAAAGAAGCACCGGCUAACUACGUG
RNAcentral lists this ribosomal RNA (468 nucleotides) under uncultured bacterium. RNAcentral describes it as "partial 16S ribosomal RNA". It matches the Rfam family "Bacterial small subunit ribosomal RNA", at positions 28 to 507 of the family's 1533-position model. The record is from RNAcentral.